RNAcentral lists this ribosomal RNA (311 nucleotides) under uncultured bacterium. RNAcentral's name for it is "bacterial SSU rRNA". It matches the Rfam family "Bacterial small subunit ribosomal RNA", at positions 28 to 334 of the family's 1533-position model. The record is from RNAcentral.
GACGAACGCUGGCGGCGCGCCUAACACAUGCAAGUCGAACGAGAGAGAGGAAGCUUGCUUCCUUAAUCGAGUGGCGAACGGGUGAGUAACGCGUGAGGAACCUGCCUCAAAGAGGGGGACAACAGUUGGAAACGACUGCUAAUACCGCAUAAGCCCACAGCUCGGCAUCGAGCAGAGGGAAAAGGAGUGAUCCGCUUUGAGAUGGCCCCGCGGUGCAUUAGCUAGUUGGUAAGGUAACGGCUUACCAAGGCGACGAUGCAUAGCCGAGUUGAGAGACUGAUCGGCCACAUUGGGACUGAGACACGGCCCAA